GACUUCGUUAAAAAAAAAAAAAAAAAGCUAAAACUUUUGUUCACCAGCUGCUCAGCUUUUCAGUCUGGGUUUGAGCUGGAACCUGCUGCAAGCGUUUGACGGCAUUCACGCGCUUUUGAAACUUUCCAUGAACGGACUUGGAUCUAAUAUCCCUGAAAACAAAGAAAGAACAGUGCAAUUUGAACACAGUAGCCUCUGCCCCAUGCCUGAGGGAGACAGCACAGCUUUGGGAACUAUGAUUGAGUGACAGCCCUACGUAUGAAGUUGGGAAUGUGACUAGUCAAUAAUGCCUGUGAGGACCAACUGGAAGAGAAGAAAUCAUUUAUUCUUUACCAUCAAUAUGUGACUGUGUCUUGAAAUGAAUAUCCUGGAAUCUGAUUCAGACUUGAUUUUGGAAACCCCUGUCCCCCCCCCUCCUCUGGAGCCUUAGGCAUGUGGUCAAAGAAUAUGAGUAAGGAACAGGGAACCAAGUCCCCUAAUUUAUCUUUAAUUUCUGUUAUUUUCUUACUGAACUCCCCUUCUCCUAUAUUAACUCUCCCUUCCAUGGAAUAGGUGAUGUGAAAUAGGUCCUACAUCCAUGUUAAAAGUUAAAGAGAUAAUGUUAGUAUUUUAAACAAAAUAAAAGAACAGCAAUAGAAGAGAUAAUAGCAUUUCACUUCACGACAGAAGAGAUAAUAACACUUUAGUGCUUUAGGCCUGCCUAAUUAGUGGUGCUUCUCCUGAGACAUUAAUUUUGGUGUCAGUGGAGGUUAAGGGAAAGGAGGUUGCAGCUAAAGUGCCAGUGAUAUUCUGAGGGUUCUGGACACUGAAACCUCAAGUUUAUAUAUACCGAGGGCUGGUGGCCAAUUUCACCAACGUGUAAACUGAUAAACAGAGAGAUCUGAUUGCAAAUAAAAUGCAUUGCGUAUUUGGCUUAAUGACCAUACCCUAGAAUGAGCGACUAAGAAUAGAGAGAAUUCCGGUCGCCGCAGCCCAAGACGGACGCGGACCCAUCUAGCAGGAAACAGCGGCGCGCCGGCCUCUCCUCCGCGACCGCGUGCGGACGGCUUGUCCCGGCCAACUACCACAACUGCACGAAUCGACACGGCCCAGAGACGUACCUGGCGCACAAAAGUUCUCAUGCUCCGCCGUGCCACGGGAUCUGCGCACCUUCGCCCACAUCUUGGCGGCUGUUGAGUGCUCCUACAGCCCCUUCCCCGGCCAUAGGCGUGGUCCCCAGACACCUCAGGGAUCACUUCCACCUGGCGCACUGCCUUCUGGGGGAAGCCCCAGGCCGGAAGUCUGACUACGAGGCCCACGCUCCCCUGCAGGGCCUCUUGCCCCCUCCGACACCUUCAGCCAAUUGCUGAAGUUGCAACCCCUGGGUCUGGCCGAUAGCAGCCCCAGUCCUGCCAACCCGUCUCCCGCCACUCCUCGGCCCACAGCAUCUUCCCAGAGCCCCAAGCUGUUGCUGUCCUCGCUGACGCCCUCUUUCCACUCGGACAAAGGCAUGUAGAGCCCCCACCCCACCCCACCCCCCGGCCAAGGGAACCACAGGUACUGCCAUCUGUGCAACAUCGAGUUCGUCAAGUUCACAGGUACUUCUGUGUGUUCACCUUCAUCGUCCCCAAGAAGUGUUGCUGUUCCUCGAAGGCCAGUGAAUAUGUGAAGUGAGUCACCCAACACAGAAUGGACUGGGGGCCACUUUCCAUGCCCCCCCCCAACUUCUCUAUCCAGGAACAAAGGCCAGCUUUCCCACCUGCCGUGCUGUCCAUUGCCACCCCCGCCUGGACCCUUGGCACUUAAAGUUCAGUUUGAGGAGCACAGCCUCAAUAGCCUGGAGUUGAAGGAGCACCUAAAUUCCAUUAGAAUUACUUCGGAGAGUCUCCUCUGUUUAUCUGAAACAUUCAUCGUAUUUAUUUAUUUUUUAUUUUUGGAGAGAGAGUGUGUGAGUCUGGAGAGGGAAAGCGAGAUGGAAUCUUAAGCGGGCUCCAUGCUCAGCCCAGAGCCCAGAGAUCAUAACCGGAGCUGCAAUGGGUUCAUUAAAAUAACACUUUCCUUAAGUAAUAAGAAUAAUAAAGAGUUCCAGAAUGUAGAUAUCUAUGCACUUUGAUAUUCUUUUGGUAAAAAAGAAAUGUACCCUUGGAUGGGAAAGUUUCCAAGGAAGGCUUUUCACCAAAAAGAUCAGACUGUGGAAAGAACCACAGACUUGUGUGAGGCAGGAAGAGCAAGAAGAAAAGAGAAGGAAAGCAUUUUAAACGUUACUGAUACUUCAUAGCAAUAAGUUAUUUUUAUAUAGUGUAGAUCAGAAUAUUCUUUACAGUAACACAAAUAUUUUGUGUACUUUUAAAAGGCUUCAUGCAUACACUGGUAAAAAAACAAAAGAGAAAAAAAUGCUGUCAUUUUGAGGAAUUAUGAUGAUGAUUGUUAAUAUUUAUGUGCCAAAGCAAUAACAACAAAUGUUAUAUGGAAGAUAACAUUGAAUUGUAAAAAUUUCAUGAAAUAUUAUUGUGCUUUUCAUAUGGACAAGUAAACCUAGGCUUAAAUGAUUAAAUCACAUGUCUAAAGUCCUGUAGCUGAAAUGUGAUACAUGCAAAAUGCAAAACCAAAUUAGUCUUGUUUUAGAGUCUGUGAUCUUAACCACUCUGUUUUGUGAUACUUAGAGGAAAACUUUUCCCAAUUUCUGGAGUUAAAGAAGUGGAAAAUUAUCCAGACUAGUGGCAAUGCAAACCAUCUGAGAAGGGAGAGUCAGGGACAGGGAGUGUGGCUUUCUGAGAGACAGCAUUUCAUCACAGCUGGUAUUCUUGGGAACCCUAGUAGAGACUCUGUGAAAAAGAUUUAACAUGAAAAAGAUUUUGUUGAUACUUCUGUGGAGGGUUGAUUAGAAAAAGAAAGAUAAGUCAGAAGACUAUUUUAAUAAUUAAAAUGAAAUAAAGAUAUGUGGACUUCA
Felis catus (domestic cat) is the source of this 2929-nucleotide long non-coding RNA. RefSeq lists it as uncharacterized. Lineage: Eukaryota; Metazoa; Chordata; Mammalia; Carnivora; Felidae. The record is from RefSeq and is a predicted model, not a curated record. The transcript is spliced from 4 exons.